Molecule: small nucleolar RNA, 107 nt
Organism: Panicum hallii
Lineage: Eukaryota; Viridiplantae; Streptophyta; Magnoliopsida; Poales; Poaceae
Product: small nucleolar RNA snoR97
Exons: 1
Source: RefSeq, a predicted model, not a curated record
UGACUCUGAUUUGUGUUGAGGCUGAAAAACUCGGGAGAGUUUGUGUUGUCAUGGACUUCCAUCUCUUUGAUCAUGUCAGGUGGGAGUUAAGUAACAGCACAAGAUUC